UACAGAGGGUGCAAGCGUUGUUCGGAAUUAUUGGGCGUAAAGGGCGUGUAGGCGGUCUGCUAAGUCAUGUGUGAAAUCCCUCGGCUUAACCGAGGAACGACGCAUGAAACUGGCAAGCUAGAGUACCAAAGAGGGGGGUGGAAUUCCCGGUGUAGCGGUGAAAUGCGUAGAUAUCUGGAGGAAUACCGGUGGCGAAGGCGGCAUCCUGGACCGAUAUUGACGCUGAGGAGCGAAAGCUAGGGGAGCAAACAGG
This 253-nucleotide ribosomal RNA is filed under the name uncultured bacterium. RNAcentral describes it as "partial 16S ribosomal RNA". It matches the Rfam family "Bacterial small subunit ribosomal RNA", at positions 524 to 776 of the family's 1533-position model. The record is from RNAcentral.